This 4849-nucleotide long non-coding RNA is filed under the name Phoenix dactylifera (date palm). RNAcentral's name for it is "long non-coding RNA (PDAC_LNC009081)". Lineage: Eukaryota; Viridiplantae; Streptophyta; Magnoliopsida; Arecales; Arecaceae. The record is from RNAcentral.
ACUCCCCUCAUCCAAAUAAGUUCCAGCUUCUUCCAUGUGGAGAAAUAGCACCCCAGCUUCUUCCAAAUCCCUUGCGUUCCACGACAUUCACCCAGCACAAAGUCGAGAUCAACUUCUAAACAAAAUCCCCUGUUUCUCCGUGUUCAUCCUCAUCCUUCCCACGCUCACAUCCAAACUUCCCACAAAACAGAGUCCAGCUCCCCCUCGUGCCUGUGUUCAUCUUCCACCCGUCCGAGAUCCUCUCCACAUCCUCCUCCACAUUGAAGCCUCAUUAGUUUCUUCCAGAUUCUUCCCAGUGGAGCAAGGUUCAUCCGCAUUCUAGCUGCUCACCCGCGUGCAUCCCAUCGUCCCUUCAUCACGGAUCAAGCCAACAAAUGCAUCCGUUCCCAACAUCCCGAGCCUCACGGAAUCCCCAGUUCUGGGACCACUUCUAGCCAAAUCCAGUCAUUCCCAGCCUUCCCGUUCAUCAUUCAUGUGCAAGCUCAGCCCCUGUCCCACGAACAAAACCAAGCCAGCAGCCACCCUCUUCUUCCGGACUCCCAGCUUUUUCCAUGAUCCAUCUUCAUCCUGUCCGCGUAUGAUCCUCCUAGAUUUCCUAUCAAAUCCAGCACUCCAUCCUAUUUCUCCUCAUCCUCCCGAAUCAUCUAUGAUCGAGCUCAUCUCCCCUUCAUCCCGUUUAGCUUCCACAGUCUCCCCCUGCUUCGGAACAGAGCCAGGAUCUUCUGCAUCCAAGGAUCAAGUCGACUUCUUCCACCCGCGAAGGAUUCCUCCCAACAUUUCCUGCCUUCAGCGAUGCACCCCACGCGUCUAAAGGAAUUUCCGAUCCAGCUCCAACCUCUCUCGCGUCCGGGUAUCUCGUGUCCAGCUAGGAUGAGCAUCCCAAACAAAUCUCAGCAUCCAUUUGUUCUUAGCCGAAUCCAUCUGCCCAUCCACGGAUUCGAAGUCGUUCAGAUCACCUCUCAGCCGUCCGGCCAGCACCUCCGAUGCGUCCGAGGAUCAAGCAACAAUCCCUCAGCUUCAUCCAGCUUCGAUCCAUCCUUAUCGCCACAUGAAAUAGUGAAGAGAGAAAGAGGUUGCAGCCUAUAAAAAGCCCAGGCGUGAACAGAGGAGGCAUUCUUUUCUCACCCGAUCCCAUCCAUUAAUUCAUUUAUUUGGGAAGUCCCACGGAAGACAAAGAAGGGAGGAGAGGAUCAGAGGAGAAAGGAAGAGAAGAAGAGAUGCAAGCUUCCUGCGCUGCUGUCGUCCACCACUGCAUGGAAGCCUAAGCUCUUCUCUAGGGCUGAAUGCAGCCCUAACAAAGGGACACGGGUUUUGUUUAUUUAAUUUCAUGUUCUUGAAAUUAUAUAGGCACUCUUGCUCUUAAUAAAUAUCCUUUUAUCUCAUACUUAAAUUCUGUGAUUUUAAGUAUGAUGUUUAUACAAAUAUUUUUUAUAAUUAUUAAAGUAAAAAUAAGAUAGUUCAUGCCUAAAGAAGAUGCGGUGUGCUGCCACCUUAGAUUAGGGUAGACAUUUCAUGCUAACUGAAGAUGGACUAUGCCUAAAUUACUUUUGUAAAAUUUUAUUCAAAUGCUUAUUAGGCUUGUAGCCAAUUUGCAUAAUAAUCCAAGAAUGAAAUAAAUUACAAAUAAUCCUUGUUGCUAUGAUAGUGGUGAAUUUCUUGCCCUAGGUUCUCUCAACUGAUAUCAUUUUAAUUGCAUUUCCNNNNNNNNNNNNNNNNNNNNCAUGCUAACUGAAGAUGGACUAUGCCUAAAUUACUUUUGUAAAAUUUUAUUCAAAUGCUUAUUAGGCUUGUAGCCAAUUUGCAUAAUAAUCCAAGAAUGAAAUAAAUUACAAAUAAUCCUUGUUGCUAUGAUAGUGGUGAAUUUCUUGCCCUAGGUUCUCUCAACUGAUAUCAUUUUAAUUGCAUUUCCUAUUAAAUUAUUUAGUUCAAUAGUCUUCACAAAUUCUCUUUUUCAAAUAUUUUUAAGAAAACAAUUGUACCCCAAUCCCUGUGGAUCGAUACCCGUAAUUACUAUCCUACCAGAUACGUGCUAUUGCGUGGUCUUUAAAGUUGACUGUCAAUUUUUGGCGCCGUUGCCGGGGAUUGCUAACACGGUUGUUUUCUUUUUGUUUAUUUAUUUUUAUUUGUUUCUUUUUAGCAAUUGGAUACAUCCACUUUCUUAUAUUGCCAUAAUUUUUGAGAUGUACUAAUCAUUAUUUGUUUUGAUAGGAUUAUCGAAAAAAAAAGAAGAAAGAAGGAAUGAAUUUUGGACGACUAGAGGACACGUACGGAAAAGGUUUGAUCAAUUAGCCAGCUGCAAUUUUUGCUUGGUAACCUCUAAACCUCUCCUGUCUUUGAAUCCUUGUUGUGAUUGUUUGAUUUAAUUUGAGUAAGGCAUGUAUGAUUGCUUGACACACCACUUAAUAUAUCACGCACAUAGUAAGGGCAAUCACCCCAACAAGAUAAGAACUGGAUUUCAUCACCAGAUUCUUGCCCAAAUUAGGUGAAUCAAUUCUCACAUAGCUAUCACUUUAAUUAAAAUCAAUUAGACGUUGGCCCCUAGGGACAUUCAAGCUCAAUAGGACGAAGAUCACCGAAAGUUAUACCAAUUUCGUUCUAUGGCUCAGUUGAUGUCGAGGCAAGCUUUGUCCCUAUAAGGGAGAUAGUUCAUCUGUUCGAGGCAAGUGGUUUUUAAGUGGGACCUUUGCAACGCAUCGUGACCCCCCACUUACCUGGGAGCUUACCUGGUCAACUUAGUUUAUUAGACCGGAUUGGAGGCUUAGGUGCCCUCUUCAAACCAGUUAGGAGCUGUCUAGUGAUUUUAGGGCAAAUACAAGGAUUUGAUGUGUUUUUCUUUUAGUGCACGCUUGACUGUACUUGACUGAUCAGAAGAGUAUUAGUGUAUGCUAGGGUGUCUGAUAAGUGCUUAAUAAUCUAUAAUUUAGUUAUCUUUCUAUAGCACUUAUCAAUAUUCUUAAACUGAUAAGUACAUAUUUUACCAUGAAAUUGAAUAAUCAUUGAAAUAAAUUUAAAAUAUGGUAAGAAGUAAAUAAUUCUUUUCUUAAACCAGACUCUGAACUUGUCUCUCUCUUGGUGACGAUCUUUCAUGAAAACUACAGAAAAACAUAUAAGGAGGAGAUUGUUGACCCGAUUUAUUAACCUGAUGGAGUUGUAACCAUGCUAAGGUUAUAAUUAAAUAGGUUUUGGUCCUGAUUAGAUAAUUAUUUUUGUAUGAGGAAAAAGGUUUGAUUAACCCUUUUUAUUAAGUCACGGUCCUGUUUUUAGUCUUGUCAAGUCCGGUCUGAAGCAGUUCAGCAAGAAUUAAAUUUAAAUGACAUUGGGCUCGAGAACAAGUUUAAGCAAAUCAACGAUCAUGACCCACCUCAAAUUCAAAGCCAAUUCCCAACCAAUUCCUUGCCUGCCUUCAUAUAAAAUUUAUAAUUUUAAAACAAAAAAAUAAUAAUAAUAAUUAAAUAUCCACGAUUCACUGUUCAUAUGAACAGUGUCCCGUGAAAACACUGUUCAUAUGAACAGUGUUACAAAAAAUAUAUAUAUAUAAUAAAACAAAUGAAAACUCCACUGUUCAUCUUCUUCCCCCCUCCCCCGCAGUGCAUCACGGCCGAGAUUCCCGUCGAUUCUCUCGUUCCGGNNNNNNNNNNNNNNNNNNNNUCCACGAUUCACUGUUCAUAUGAACAGUGUCCCGUGAAAACACUGUUCAUAUGAACAGUGUUACAAAAAAUAUAUAUAUAUAAUAAACAAAUGAAAACUCCACUGUUCAUCUUCUUCCCCCUCCCCCGCAGUGCAUCACGGCCGAGAUUCCCGUCGAUUCUCUCGUUCCGGCCAUGAGAUAGUAUCGCCUAAGUGAUCCUCUAUGCAAUCCUCCACGAGGUGCAGCCAGCCUCCCGUUCCUCCGCCUCUUCAUCCGCCUGCGCCAGCGCCUCCGCACAGCGGCCAUUCCGAGGAUCCGAGACAACAUCGCGUCCCAGCAUAUCACGCUAUGGAUCUGGCCACCUUCUUCUUCCGCUCCUCCCAGCAUCGCGUCCCAGCCGCUCUCAGAGUCAGCCAUCCUUCCGCAUCAGGCGUCCGGUGAUCCCGCAUCCAUUCCUUCCACGGUCUAAAGAAAGAAAUCAUCCGGAGCGGUCCUCCCAGCCAUCCCACAACCAAAUCUCCUCCAUGAUCAAUGCUUCCAGCAUUCCAUGAGAUCAGGCAUGAGCCCAAGCAUCUAGUCGUCCCCCUCUUCCGGAUUUGAGCCAUCCAUCCGCGAUCUGUCCUCCGCUUCUUCUUCCUCGAUGCAUCCGGAGCCAGCCAUCACGUUGAUCCCGCGGCUCCUCCCAUCGAGUAUCCCGGAUUCGCAUCCCCACUAGCAUGCUCCCAAGGGAUCCAUCACCAGGUGAGAGGGUCUAUAUGAAGAAGCCAUCGGCAGGGAAGAGGAGGAGCUCAGUUGAGAAAAACAGGGGAGACCCCCUAUUUCGGUGAAAAGAAGAAGAAAGCCGAGAGGGAAGAAGAGAAAAAGAAAUAAAAAAAGAGAGAAAGGAGGGGGAGAGAGAGAGUAUUUUGGAUAUUUUGGAAAUAAUGGGAGGUGAAGACUUUCAUUUGAAGAUGGGAGGUCGUCCGGAAGCCAUGCUCGGCUAAACGUCUAGUCUAGGGCUGGAUGAAGCUCUAGCAAUGUAUCAGGGCAUUGUAGUUCUUAUUUUCUUUAUUAUUUUGGAGCUUGUUUAAAUUCUUAUCUUCAAUGAAAUAUUUUUUUUAUGAUAUUUAAACCUUGAGCAUGCCAUUUACUAUUCAUAUUUGCUAAAGUAGUCUAAGAUGAUCCAUGCCUAGGAAGAAGAGAUGUACUACACCCUAGGUUAGGAUAAUUAGGUAGACACUU